AACGCGAAGAACCUUACCCAGGUUUGAAAAUAGGAGAUGAUAACAGAGAUGUUAUUUCCCGCAAGGGCUGCUAUUUAGGUGCUGCAUGGCUGUCGUCAGCUCGUGCCGUGAGGUGUUGGGUUAAGUCCCGCAACGAGCGCAACCCUUAUCAUUAGUUGCCAACACGCAAGGUGGGAACUCUAAUGAGACUGCCCAGGUUAACUGGGAGGAAGGUGAGGAUGACGUCAAGUCCGCAUGGCCUUUAUGUCUGGGGCUACACACGUUCUACAAUGGCCGGUACAGAAGGCAGCUAAGCCGCAAGGUAGAGCAAAUCCGUAAAGCCGGUCUCAGUUCGGAUUGUGGUCUGCAACUCGACCACAUGAAGCUGGAAUUGCUAGUAAUGACGUGUCAGCAACAACGUCGUGAAUACGUUCCCGGGCCUUGUACACACCGGAGUA
This 437-nucleotide ribosomal RNA is filed under the name uncultured bacterium. RNAcentral's name for it is "bacterial SSU rRNA". It matches the Rfam family "Bacterial small subunit ribosomal RNA", at positions 958 to 1398 of the family's 1533-position model. The record is from RNAcentral.